GUGGGGAAUAUUGGACAAUGGGCGAAAGCCUGAUCCAGCCAUGCCGCGUGUGUGAAGAAGGUCUUCGGAUUGUAAAGCACUUUAAGUUGGGAGGAAGGGCAGUAAGCGAAUACCUUGCUGUUUUGACGUUACCAACAGAAUAAGCACCGGCUAACUCUGUGCCAGCAGCCGCGGUAAUACAGAGGGUGCGAGCGUUAAUCGGAAUUACUGGGCGUAAAGCGCGCGUAGGUGGUUCGUUAAGUUGGAUGUGAAAGCCCCGGGCUCAACCUGGGAACUGCAUCCAAAACUGGCGAGCUAGAGUAGGGCAGAGGGUGGUGGAAUUUCCUGUGUAGCGGUGAAAUGCGUAGAUAUAGGAAGGAACACCAGUGGCGAAGGCGACCACCUGGGCUCAUACUGACACUGAGGUGCGAAAGCGUGGGGAGCAA
This 425-nucleotide ribosomal RNA is filed under the name uncultured Pseudomonas sp. RNAcentral's name for it is "bacterial SSU rRNA". It matches the Rfam family "Bacterial small subunit ribosomal RNA", at positions 354 to 771 of the family's 1533-position model. The record is from RNAcentral. Lineage: Bacteria; Pseudomonadati; Pseudomonadota; Gammaproteobacteria; Pseudomonadales; Pseudomonadaceae.